This 460-nucleotide ribosomal RNA is filed under the name uncultured bacterium. RNAcentral's name for it is "partial 16S ribosomal RNA". It matches the Rfam family "Bacterial small subunit ribosomal RNA", at positions 338 to 795 of the family's 1533-position model. The record is from RNAcentral.
CCUACGGGUGGCAGCAGUGAGGAAUAUUGGUCAAUGGACGAGAGUCUGAACCAGCCAAGUAGCGUGAAGGAUGACUGCCCUAUGGGUUGUAAACUUCUUUUAUAAGGGAAUAAAACGUUCCACGUGUGGGUUUUUGUAUGUACUAUAUGAAUAAGGAUCGGCUAACUCCGUGCCAGCAGCCGCGGUAAUACGGAGGAUCCGAGCGUUAUCCGGAUUUAUUGGGUUUAAAGGGAGCGUAGGUGGGUUGUUAAGUCAGUUGUGAAAGUUUGCGGCUCAACCGUAAAAUUGCAAUUGAUACUGGCAGUCUUGAGUACAGUAGAGGUGAGCGGAAUUCGUGGUGUAGCGGUGAAAUGCUUAGAUAUCACGAAGAACCCCGAUUGCGAAGGCAGUUCACUAAACUGUGACUGACACUGAUGCUCGAAAGUGUGGGUAUCAAACAGGAUUAGAUACCCCUGUAGUC